GAUCAGAGAUUUAAUUGAAAAAUAUUAUAUUAAAUUAAUACCUCAAAUAUUAUACAUAAUUGUGCGAGUUUAAUUAUAAUAAAUAAAUUAAUAGAUAGUGAAAAGGUUUGUUUUAGGGAAAUUGAAAUAUAAUUUAUAGUUUAAAUAAAUACGAAAUUAAUUAAAUAUUUAAAAGGUUUUUAAUGAAAUAAUGAAACAUACAGUUAUAUUUUAAUUAAAUACGAAAUUAAUUAAAUCUUUAAAAAGUUUUGAGUGAAAAAUGAAAUAUACAUUUAUAUUUUAAUUAAAAAGAUAUGAAACAAUUUUAUUCAUAUGCAAUUUUAGAUAAAAU
Molecule: long non-coding RNA, 331 nt
Filed under: Brassica napus (rape)
Lineage: Eukaryota; Viridiplantae; Streptophyta; Magnoliopsida; Brassicales; Brassicaceae
Description: long non-coding RNA (BNAP_LNC016481)
Source: RNAcentral